Molecule: long non-coding RNA, 400 nt
Organism: Balaenoptera acutorostrata (minke whale)
Lineage: Eukaryota; Metazoa; Chordata; Mammalia; Artiodactyla; Balaenopteridae
Exons: 4
Source: RefSeq, a predicted model, not a curated record
CACACUGUGUCUUUGAUGAUGAUUUUGAGCUACUUAAUUAACUAUCCCUGGAGGCACUUUACCUAAGACUUCUUCCUUUUUUAAGGCUGUCGGUCUGGAGAUUUCUAAUGCUUAUAGCUAAAACAACUUUUCUGCAAUAUUGCAACCUGCAAUAUUAGGCUGUUGAAGUUUUCCUCUAUGUCUAGUUUACUAAGGUGAUUUUUUUGCUGUCCAGUUUUCCCAGCACCACUUAUUGAAGAGGCUGUCUUUUCUCCAUUGUAUAUUCUUGCCUCCUUUAUCAAAGAACCAUUGAUUGAAUAUUCUAUCAUUUCCUUGAUUAUCUGCAAUGAACCUCAGCGACAUUUUCAAAUCACGAAAGACUUCCAAUUCAAGAUGGCUGUCAGAAUAAACACAAAUUGAA